CCUACGGGAGGCAGCAGUGGGGGAUAUUGGACAAUGGGGGAAACCCUGAUCCAGCGACGCCGCGUGAGUGAAGCAGUAUUUCGGUAUGUAAAGCUCUGUCAGCAGGGAAGAAAGAAAUGACGGUACCUGACCAAGAAGCCCCGGCUAACUACGUGCCAGCAGCCGCGGUAAUACGUAGGGGGCAAGCGUUAUCCGGAAUUACUGGGUGUAAAGGGAGCGUAGACGGUGAUGCAAGUCUGGAGUGAAAGGCGGGGGCCCAACCCCCGGACUGCUCUGGAAACUGUGUCACUUGAGGGCAGGGGAGGUAAGCGGAAUUCCGAGUGUAGCGGUGAAGUGCGUAGAUAUUAGGAGGAACACCAGUGGCGAAGGCGGCUUACUGGACUGUAACUGACGUUGAGGCUCGAAAGCGUGGGGAGCAAACAGGAUUAGAUACCCGAGUAGUC
This 443-nucleotide ribosomal RNA is filed under the name uncultured bacterium. Its description in RNAcentral is "partial 16S ribosomal RNA". It matches the Rfam family "Bacterial small subunit ribosomal RNA", at positions 338 to 795 of the family's 1533-position model. The record is from RNAcentral.